RNAcentral lists this ribosomal RNA (253 nucleotides) under uncultured bacterium. Its description in RNAcentral is "partial 16S ribosomal RNA". It matches the Rfam family "Bacterial small subunit ribosomal RNA", at positions 524 to 776 of the family's 1533-position model. The record is from RNAcentral.
UACGUAGGGUGCAAGCGUUGUCCGGAAUUAUUGGGCGUAAAGAGCUCGUAGGCGGUUUGUCGCGUCUGCUGUGAAAACUCAGGGCUUAACUCUGAGCUUGCAGUGGGUACGGGCAGACUAGAGUGCGGUAGGGGAGACUGGAAUUCCUGGUGUAGCGGUGAAAUGCGCAGAUAUCAGGAGGAACACCGGUGGCGAAGGCGGUUCUCUGGGCAUUACCUGACGCUGAGGAGCGAAAGUGUGGGGAGCGAACAGG